AAAAGAAAAGGAUAAAGUUCCCGUUUUAUCAUUAUUGGAAUCGAUUGGAAUGGCUCUUAGCUGAAGCUUCUCUCUUCUCUGAAGCUUAGAAAACAUUAUUCUGAAGACUGAACAACAAGGGAAGAGGUAUAAAGCUUUGUCAAGCUUGUUAAGGAGCAAUGGCUACUAUCCAGCUAUCCCAACAUUGUUCCUCUUGGCUAUACUAACGGACGAGACUGGACAGUUUGAGGACUGGAGUAUGACCUGCUCGUUCGAGCGUUGCUGGGUAGCUCAGAGUCAUCAACGUUUCUCAAGCAAAGUUUAACUGAGUUACGAGUUGGAGCCUAGAAUCAGAGAAGUCCAGCAGCCUGCUAAAUCGUUUUGAAACGUAAUUUGAAGGCAUUCAAUCAUCUUGAAGUUGCCCUGGGUCACUGUAAUCGUGCUGCAGCACAACUGGCAACUCCCCAGGCCCUUGUGAAGCAGCUCCCUAUAGGCUAUGUGCAUCUUUUGUGUACUCACUCUGUGCAUUUUCUGUGUACAAAUUUCUAUUAUUGAUUUAUUAAAUAUUUUUGCCGACCACAAAUACAAUGAAAAUUUGACACAUGCGCAGACAACU
Molecule: long non-coding RNA, 595 nt
Organism: Halichondria panicea
Lineage: Eukaryota; Metazoa; Porifera; Demospongiae; Suberitida; Halichondriidae
Exons: 3
Source: RefSeq, a predicted model, not a curated record